This 378-nucleotide unclassified non-coding RNA is filed under the name plant metagenome. RNAcentral's name for it is "partial contains 5.8S ribosomal RNA, internal transcribed spacer 2, and large subunit ribosomal RNA". The stretch from base 1 to 105 matches the Rfam family "5.8S ribosomal RNA", at positions 50 to 154 of the family's 154-position model. The record is from RNAcentral.
GAAAUGCGAUAAGUAAUGUGAAUUGCAGAAUUCAGUGAAUCAUCGAAUCUUUGAACGCACCUUGCGCUCCUUGGUAUUCCUUGGAGCAUGCCUGUUUGAGUAUCAUGAAAUCUUCAAAGUAAAUCUUUUGUUAACUCAAUUGGUUUCUACUUUGGUAUUGGAGGUCUUUGCAGCUUCACACCUGCUCCUCUUUGUUCAUUAGCUGGAUCUCAGUGUUAUGCUUGGUUCCACUCGGCGUGAUAAGUUAUCUAUCGCUGAGGACACUGUAAAAGGUGGCCAAGGUAAAUGCAGAUGAACCGCUUCUAAUAGUCCAUUGACUUGGACAAUACUUUUAUGAUCUGAUCUCAAAUCAGGUAGGACUACCCGCUGAGCUUAAGC